ACCAGCCAAGUGCACAGACAAAGAAAAUGCCUUGAAACUCUUUCCGGUUCAGCCCUGUAGUGCUGUUCACCUUCUACUUAAGAAAGUCCUCUUUGCCCUGUGUGCCUUGAAUGCCCUGACCACCACCGUCUGCUUGGUGGCCGCUGCCCUCCGCUACCUCCAGAUAUUCGCAACCAGGAGAUCCUGCAUCGAUGAAUCCCAGAUUUCUGCUGAAGAAGUGGAGGAUCAUGGACGCAUCCCGGACCCUGAUGAUUUUGUGCCGCCUGUGCCUCCCCCUUCCUAUUUUGCCACAUUUUACUCGUGCACACCCCGGAUGAACCGCAGGAUGGUUGGUCCUGAUGUUAUUCCCCUGCCACACAUCUACGGAGCUCGAAUCAAAGGUGUGGAAGUGUUCUGUCCUCUGGAUCCCCCGCCGCCAUAUGAAGCUGUGGUGAGCCAGAUGGACCAGGAGCAGGGAUCUUCAUUCCAAAUGCCAGAAGGAUCAGAAGCUGCUGUGAUCCCACUGGAUCCGGGCUGCACACAAGUGACUCAAGGUGGGGACAUUCCUAACAUACCUGCAGAAGAAAAUGCAUCCACGUCAACUCCCAGUUCAACCCUGGUGCGUCCUAUGAGAAACCGGAGAGCCCUCCCACCCUUGAGGACCAGGUCAAAGAGUGACCCUGUGCUCCAUCAUUCUGAGGAGAGAGAUAAUGGCCCCAUUGCAGCCUAGCACAUCCAGGGCCCACAUGCUGCCCUCGCGGAGACAGCCUGGCCUGCUGCACCUCCAGAGCUGCGGCGACCUUCACACCUUCACACCGGCGGGGAGGCCCCGAGCCGAGAGGAGGCCCCGGCGAGUGGAGGCUGAGCGGCCACACAGCCUCAUUGGGGUCAUCCGAGAGACUGUCCUGUGAACCCUGGAAGACAGAAGGCCACUCCAAGGGGAAGGAUCCCUCUUCUCUCUGCCAUUUCUUGGCUGGGAGCUGUGGUCCACCUCAAAAAAAGGAGCACUCUGGAGGACACGUUUUCCCACCUGUUGGCUCCCGUGUCUGCUGACCGAGGGCAUUCAGGAGUAAAUACACAGGUCGGUCCAGGCCCAUCUGGGUUUGGGAUGCACUGAGUUGGAGGUUAUGAAAGCAUUGAUCCUCUCCUUCCUCUGCUGGGCCUCGCGGCAUUCCCAAGGGUCACGUGCCCUGGCAUGGGCAGAAACUGGGCUAAUGAUUCUUUGCCCACUUCACCCCUUGUGUCUCUCUUUGUUGCUAAGUUCUUUCCCUCUUGGAAGGACAGAUCUGCUGGGCUGCUAUUUAUAGUUGCCUUUGGCCUUUCACUGCUCUGCGAAUUGGCAGGAAAUAAGGCGAUUAACCCUAUGUGUCCACAAGCCUCAAGCCUUGUUUCAGGUCACCCUCAAAUCACACUCUCUUUAGGCAAAACAGGAAACUUCUUCAGUGACAAAUUUUAAUGCCAGACAUUUAAGGAGAGGAUUACUGUUGAUUCCAUUUACUCAUGCUUGCAAAACUAGAGACCCCUAAGGCAGAACUGAGAAUAAACAUGUUUACUUUGGGC
RNAcentral lists this small RNA (1539 nucleotides) under Pongo abelii (Sumatran orangutan). RNAcentral's name for it is "processed transcript". Lineage: Eukaryota; Metazoa; Chordata; Mammalia; Primates; Hominidae. The record is from RNAcentral.